GACGAACGCUGGCGGCGUGCUUAACACAUGCAAGUCGAACGGAAAGGCCCUGCUUUUGUGGGGUGCUCGAGUGGCGAACGGGUGAGUAACACGUGAGUAACCUGCCCUUGACUUUGGGAUAACUUCAGGAAACUGGGGCUAAUACCGGAUAGGAGCUCCUGCUGCAUGGUGGGGGUUGGAAAGUUUCGGCGGUUGGGGAUGGACUCGCGGCUUAUCAGCUUGUUGGUGGGGUAGUGGCUUACCAAGGCUUUGACGGGUAGCCGGCCUGAGAGGGUGACCGGCGACAAUGGGACUGAGAUACGGCCCAGACUCCUACGGGAGGCAGCAGUGGGGAAUAUUGCACAAUGGGCGGAAGCCUGAUGCAGCAACGCCGCGUGCGGGAUGACGGCCUUCGGGUUGUAAACCGCUUUCGCCUGUGACGAAGCGUGAGUGACGGUAAUGGGUAAAGAAGCACCGGCUAACUACGUG
This 468-nucleotide ribosomal RNA is filed under the name uncultured bacterium. RNAcentral describes it as "partial 16S ribosomal RNA". It matches the Rfam family "Bacterial small subunit ribosomal RNA", at positions 28 to 507 of the family's 1533-position model. The record is from RNAcentral.